UACAGAGGGGGCAAGCGUUGUUCGGAUUUACUGGGCGUAAAGCGCGUGUAGGCGGUUUAGUAAGUUACUUGUGAAAUCUCUGAGCUUAACUCAGAACGGCCAAGUAAUACUGCUGAACUAGAGUGCAGAAGGGGCAAUCGGAAUUCUUGGUGUAGCGGUGAAAUGCGUAGAUAUCAAGAGGAACACCAGAGGCGAAGGCGGAUUGCUGGGCUGACACUGACGCUGAGACGCGAAAGCUAGGGGAGCAAACAGG
RNAcentral lists this ribosomal RNA (253 nucleotides) under uncultured bacterium. Its description in RNAcentral is "partial 16S ribosomal RNA". It matches the Rfam family "Bacterial small subunit ribosomal RNA", at positions 524 to 776 of the family's 1533-position model. The record is from RNAcentral.